This 88-nucleotide transfer RNA is filed under the name compost metagenome. Its description in RNAcentral is "tRNA-Phe". It matches the Rfam family "tRNA". Rfam says of the family: Transfer RNA (tRNA) molecules are approximately 80 nucleotides in length. The record is from RNAcentral.
GGAGGGUUGGCCGAGUGGCUUAAGGCACCCGCCUGAAAAGCGGGCAUACCGGAAACGGUAUCGCGGGUUCGAAUCCCGCCCCCUAUUC